AGUUAGAAGUUAAUAUUUUUAACAAACCAUGAUCACAUAUGUAAAGUUUUAAGUUUAUAUUUCAUAAAUAGUAUAAAUAACCAAAUGAAGAUAUUUCUCUUAGAUGAAGGAUAAUUAUUUUUUAGUCUCCGUAAUAAACCUUAGAGCAAUUUAAAGAGACUUUUAACCUCUUUGUAUCCAAAAAUAAUACUUGGAUUUCAAGAAUUGUGUAUUGAGUUGUGUAAUUUAAAAGUCUACUCUGUUUUAGGUCAAUAUUUAGGUACCUUGAUCAACUAAGAUAAGCCUGAAAUAGGACGUGGAGGAAGGGAGUCUAUUUAAACCCUACCUGUCUGUCAUAGUUUGUUGAUUUUGACAGUUGUCAAUCAUACUGAUAUUCUGUCAGUGCUCUUACUGAGUAAAAUGACUAAAACUAGCCUGCUAAUUGACAAAAGAUACAACAAGAAUUUUACACAAUUCAUUUGUGCAUAUUUCAAAAGACUUGAAAAGUAUUGUAAACUAUGUUUCAGUGUGUAUAGAGUUAGUGGUUAACAUGGCUACAUCUUAGUGGUGAGAAGAUGACAGAGAAAAACUAAACAAUUGUAUCAAUCAUUCAAACAAAACAAUAGAAAAUGAUUUUUUAAUAUAUAUACAAAACCGUUGGUUCUCCUGUUUAAGGAUGUAUUCUUCUGACUUUUCAGUCUCGUUGAAAUCUCGUUCUUGAAUUAUUUCCAAAACAUGUGAUACAAGUGGAAAAUAUCAAUGAAAUUUAAAAAUAUUAUAAUCAAACAUAACUAUGUGAAAAAAGUUAUGUAUUUACAAUGAAUGGUUUUUGAGUAAUCCAGUUUUUAAAUUUUACGACCAAUCAAGUCA
RNAcentral lists this long non-coding RNA (849 nucleotides) under Mytilus galloprovincialis (Mediterranean mussel). The record is from RNAcentral. Lineage: Eukaryota; Metazoa; Mollusca; Bivalvia; Mytilida; Mytilidae.